This 746-nucleotide ribosomal RNA is filed under the name uncultured bacterium. Its description in RNAcentral is "bacterial SSU rRNA". It matches the Rfam family "Bacterial small subunit ribosomal RNA", at positions 28 to 882 of the family's 1533-position model. The record is from RNAcentral.
GAUGAACGCUGGCGGCGUGCCUAACACAUGCAAGUCGAGCGGAACGGCGGACGGGUGAGUAACGCGUAGGUAACCUGCCUGUACAGAGGGAUAGCCACUGGAAACGGUGAUUAAUACCUCAUAGUACAGGAUGGACCUGCGUCUGAUUAGCUUGUUGGUGGGGUAACGGCUCACCAAGGCGACGAUCAGUAGCCGACCUGAGAGGGUGAUCGGCCACAUUGGAACUGAGACACGGUCCAAACUCCUACGGGAGGCAGCAGUGGGGAAUAUUGCACAAUGGGGGAAACCCUGAUGCAGCAACGCCGCGUGAACGAAGAAGGCCUUGGGUCGUAAAGUUCUGUUCUGAGGGAAGCGGUACCUCAGGAGAAAGCCCCGGCUAACUACGUGCCAGCAGCCGCGGUAAUACGUAGGGGGCAAGCGUUGUCCGGAAUUAUUGGGCGUAAAGAGUACGUAGGCGGUCUGGUAAGCGCAAGGUGAAAGGCAUAGGCUCAACCAAUGUCAGCCUUGCGAACUGUCAGACUUGAGUGCAGGAGGGGAAAGUGGAAUUCCUAGUGUAGCGGUGAAAUGCGUAGAUAUUAGGAGGAACACCAGUGGCGAAGGCGACUUUCUGGACUGUAACUGACGCUGAGGUACGAAAGCGUGGGGAGCAAACAGGAUUAGAUACCCUGGUAGUCCACGCCGUAAACGACGAGCACUAGGUGUCGGGUGGUGCCGCAGUUAACGCAUUAAGUGUCCGCCUGGGAGUA